Molecule: unclassified non-coding RNA, 427 nt
Filed under: uncultured Inocybe
Lineage: Eukaryota; Fungi; Basidiomycota; Agaricomycetes; Agaricales; Cortinariaceae
Description: sequence contains ITS2
Rfam family: 5.8S ribosomal RNA (bases 1-153)
Source: RNAcentral
AACUUUCGACAAUGGAUCACUUGGCUCUCGCAUCGAUGAAGAACGCAGCGAAAUGCGAUAAGUAAUGUGAAUUGCAGAAUCAGUGAAUCAUCGAAUCUUUGAACGCAUCUUGCGCUCCUUGGUAUUCCGAGGAGCAUGCCUGUUUGAGUGUCAUUAAAUUCUCAACUACACUGAUAUUGUUGGUGUGGGUUGGAUUUGGGGGUUCUUUGCGGGCUUUGUAAAUAAAGUUGGCUCCCCUAAAAUUGAUUAGCGGUACCUCAGUAGAACCAUCUACAGGUGUGAUAACUUAUCUACACCUUAGAUGUCUGCAUGAAAAGGUCAUGCUGCUUUCUAACCCUCACUCCUUAUUUGGAGCACUAAUGACAAUCUUGACCUCAAAUCAGGUAGGACUACCCGCUGAACUUAAGCAUAUCAAUAAGCGGAGGCU